Molecule: ribosomal RNA, 917 nt
Filed under: Pyrrhulomyces astragalinus
Lineage: Eukaryota; Fungi; Basidiomycota; Agaricomycetes; Agaricales; Strophariaceae
Description: partial large subunit ribosomal RNA
Rfam family: Eukaryotic large subunit ribosomal RNA
Source: RNAcentral
GGAAAAGAAACUAACACGGAUUCCCCUAGUAACUGCGAGUGAAGCGGGAAAAGCUCAAAUUUAAAAUCUGGCAGUCUUUGGCUGUCCGAGUUGUAAUCUAGAGAAGUGUUAUCCGCGCUGGACCGUGUACAAGUCUCCUGGAAUGGAGCGUCAUAGAGGGUGAGAAUCCCGUCUUUGACACGGACUGCCAGGGCUUUGUGAUGCGCUCUCAAAGAGUCGAGUUGUUUGGGAAUGCAGCUCAAAAUGGGUGGUAAAUUCCAUCUAAAGCUAAAUAUUGGCGAGAGACCGAUAGCGAACAAGUACCGUGAGGGAAAGAUGAAAAGAACUUUGGAAAGAGAGUUAAACAGUACGUGAAAUUGCUGAAAGGGAAACGCUUGAAGUCAGUCGCGUUGUCUGGGAAUCAACCUUGCUUUUGCUGGGUGUACUUUCUAGAUAAUGGGUCAGCAUCAAUUUUGACUGUUGGAUAAAGUCUAGAGGAAUGUGGCAUCUUCGGAUGUGUUAUAAUAGCCUUUGGUUGCAUACAACAGUUGGGAUUGAGGAACUCAGCACGCCGCAAGGCCGGGUAAUAUAUACCACGUUCGUGCUUAGGAUGCUGGCAUAAUGGCUUUAAUCGACCCGUCUUGAAACACGGACCAAGGAGUCUAACAUGCCUGCGAGUAUUUGGGUGGAAAACCCGAGUGCGCAAUGAAAGUGAAAGUUGAGAUCCCUGUCAUGGGGAGCAUCGACGCCCGGACCGGAGCUUUUGUGAUGGAUCUGCGGUAGAGCAUGUAUGUUGGGACCCGAAAGAUGGUGAACUAUGCCUGAAUAGGGUGAAGCCAGAGGAAACUCUGGUGGAGGCUCGUAGCGAUUCUGACGUGCAAAUCGAUCGUCAAAUUUGGGUAUAGGGGCGAAAGACUAAUCGAACCAUCUAGUAGCUG